GAUGAACGCUGGCGGCGUGCCUAAUACAUGCAAGUCGAGCGAACAGACGAGGAGCUUGCUCCUCUGACGUUAGCGGCGGACGGGUGAGUAACACGUGGAUAACCUACCUAUAAGACUGGGAUAACUUCGGGAAACCGGAGCUAAUACCGGAUAAUAUAUUGAACCGCAUGGUUCAAUAGUGAAAGACGGUUUUGCUGUCACUUAUAGAUGGAUCCGCGCCGCAUUAGCUAGUUGGUAAGGUAACGGCCUACCAAGGCAACGAUGCGUAGCCGACCUGAGAGGGUGAUCGGCCACACUGGAACUGAGACUCGGUCCAGACUCCUACGGGAGGCAGCAGUAGGGAAUCUUCCGCAAUGGGCGAAAGCCUGACGGAGCAACGCCGCGUGAGUGAUGAAGGUCUUCGGAUCGUAAAACUCUGUUAUUAGGGAAGAACAAAUGUGUAAGUAACUAUGCACGUCUUGACGGUACCUAAUCAGAAAGCCACGGCUAACUACGUG
This 497-nucleotide ribosomal RNA is filed under the name uncultured bacterium. RNAcentral describes it as "partial 16S ribosomal RNA". It matches the Rfam family "Bacterial small subunit ribosomal RNA", at positions 28 to 507 of the family's 1533-position model. The record is from RNAcentral.